AAGCAGGAUGCUCUAGGUGGGACAGGGCUCUGAGGGCUGCAGUGGCCAUGGUCCAUGAAAUAACAACCAUGUUGCAAUGGCAUCAACAGCCUGAGCACCCCAGGGAAGGGAUAGACCCGUAAGCUUGCCAAGGAAGAGUUAACAAAGUGCAGCUGGGGGAGCUCCCCAGGUGUGUGCCCUCAGCAGUGAGCCCAGCUGGGAAGAGUCCCCUCGUCCUGCAGGGAGACCCCCUGCCAGCAUCCUAUAAAGGCCAAGCCUUCCCCUUAGCUCUGUUUGGGAACUCUUGCUGGGUUUCCUGGUGAGAUCAUGCAUGAGAAAUGAUAUUGAAAGAAGAAAUGGAGACUUGCUUGAGGUUUGCUCAAGAGCAGGUUGUGGCAGCAUGCCUCCUUCAACCAAAAGCAGAGCAUGUACAAUAGCAUUAUGGCCUAACUGCAAUCAGUCUGCUGCGAACAGCUUGUAUAUAUUUGGAUGUUCACUGGUCCAUGAGAGCAAAUCGUCCUCCCUUACCAUCAAAGACCUUCUUUUCCAGUUCCUUUAUUAGUGAGCUGCUUUGCUUAUGGGGAUGCCCAGCAGGCACAGACCCUGCAGAGCAUGUGGUGGUGUUUCUGGUGUCGGACACGGGGUGGGAGUACGGCAGGAUUUGUCCCAGCACAGAAACCACAUCAGCGAGGAUUUGCUGGCACCAGGAGGUGCCUUCACCACUACCUGGAGUUAUUCUGGGAGAAGAACUCCUUGUUUUGGUCCUUGCCUCAUGAGAAGGAACCUGCUGGGAAUCAGAGCAGCUCCCUGAGGCUCGGUGGAAGCUCUGGGCUUGCUCCGAGGAAACUUGAUGGUUUCUCCUGGCCUGGCACAGGCCAACAUGGACUUCCAUGGUGUGUGGCUGUGGGCUUGCUCCCAGUGGGAGCUGGGGCUGUCCAGGCUGAUUUCUCCCAGGCCUGAGAGCUUGGGUCAGCACUGAAUGGCUUCCUGCAGGUGGCAUGGAGGGCAGGAGGCAGCUGGCUGCAGGGCUGCUGCCAGCUCCUUUAAUUAGGCAAUGCAAACGGGCUGCAAGGGAGAAGGUGCCAGGGAAUGUAAAAGCAGCUCAUGAAAGGGAGUGCAGACAAGGAAGGGAGAAAUUAUUCAGAUAGCCCUAAAGUUUACUUUUAAGAUGUCUUUUAUUUUUUUCAUUUUCAUAUAUUUUCCUUGAUCUUUUGAGAGAAAAAGAUUGGUCCAUAGACAGAUCUCCAAAGAGAUUAUUUUUUUCAGCCUCGCUAUUGCUUUAAUCCGUGGUCUCUUCAGACAGGGAAUAUUUAAUUGGUGCACUGGUGAAAUAAAAUGUUUAAAUAGCUUGUACAGCAAUCUUUUUCCCUCUGUUGUGGCAUUAGUUCCCCAAUAUUCCUUGGCCGCUUGCUGGGUAUUGAGGCAAAGAAAGGAACCAGAGGAGGUCCCUCUCUAUAAAUCUGUCUGUGAUGUGAAAACUCCCUGGAUACACUUAUCAUACAUGAUCCAAUACAUCAAUUAACCCGAGACCUUGCUGCAAUAAUCACACACAAAUAAAUCACUCUCUGUGAUGCAUCUUUUUUUGACUCAAGCAGGUUUCUGUGCAGUGGGGAUGCACUGCGGGACACAGGAGAGGUGAGCCUCAGCUUUGUGCUCAGCACUGGGCCCGAGCAUCUCCCUGGAUGCUUAAAAUUAGGUGUUCCUUGGGCAGCCCUGCCUAAAACGCAUGUGCACACAAGCACUGAGAGAGGUAGAGGGAGCUUCUGGAGAAGCAGAUUAGAUGGAAAGAUAUCCUGCAAAAUAAUGAGGUAAAUUAAAAGGCUGGUGCACUUGAAGUCUAU
Molecule: long non-coding RNA, 1820 nt
Organism: Cygnus olor (mute swan)
Lineage: Eukaryota; Metazoa; Chordata; Aves; Anseriformes; Anatidae
Exons: 3
Source: RefSeq, a predicted model, not a curated record